Zingiber officinale is the source of this 807-nucleotide long non-coding RNA. RefSeq lists it as uncharacterized. NCBI's taxonomy places the organism in Eukaryota, Viridiplantae, Streptophyta, Magnoliopsida, Zingiberales, Zingiberaceae. The record is from RefSeq and is a predicted model, not a curated record. The transcript has 4 exons.
GUCUUCUAACUUCUCAUCCCCUCUAUUAGUCUCCCGCAAGACUCUACCUUCAUAGGAAAAUAUUUUUUUUCUGCGUUCUCCUGCAGGAUUUUAAGGACAAUUAUCUCCUUACCGAAGAGGGCAAGCCGUAUUCCGUGGAAGGGUCACCGGAGGAAGUCAACUUUUUCUUGUCCAUACCUUCGGAGGCAAUAUGCCACGCAAAUCACAAGGCAAAACUGGAUCCGAACGUAUUCAGUAUAGGGUUAUCUUGGUCAAAAAUGAACAACUGGAUUGAAAUUGCCGAAGGAUCUGUAACGAGGAAGGUUGAAGUAGUUGAGGACAAAGUUAAGGAUUUGCUAAACAAAAUCGAAGAUGGCUAGUCCAUUGAUGGGAAUGAUGCUGCAGAACUUUCGAACAGAAAGCUGAUAGUUAAGCAAUAAGGAAUGCUUCCUUGCUGGUUGUUUUUAUUUCUUGUAUCCCUGUAAAGAUUGAAGCCUCACAUAUGAGGAGAAAAUUUUUUGGUAGGCCCUCUCUAAUUAGUGGGUUCAGUGGGCACAUCUUCCAAUUUUUAUAGUUUCAUUGUGCUGGUUUUGGGCUUCGAUUGGAGCAAAGUGUAUUCAGAUGAGAGUUGAGACUAUUUUAUUAUGAAGUUUAGUUUUUUCAUAAAUUAUACUUAAGAAUUAGAGUUUGUUCAAUUCAUGGUGAUAUCGCCCUAACUGUAUUCCAUUUUUUCUAUUAACCAACAUAUUGAUACUGUUUCCCUCAUGCUUACUUUUUCUGAUGCUAUUUGGAAAGAAGAGCUAUGAAGUGAUUGACUCUACUGUAUCU